GACGAGGGGUCCUAGCGUUGUUCGGAAUCACUGGGCGUAAAGCGUAUGUAGGCGGGUUUUUAAGUCGGGGGUGAAAUCCCACGGCUCAACCGUGGAAUUGCAUUCGAAACUGGAAAUCUUGAGUGUGGGAGAGAUUGAUAGAAUACCUAGUGUAGUGGUGAAAUACGUAGAUAUUAGGUGGAAUACCGGUGGCGAAGGCGGCCAAUUGGCCCAACACUGACGCUGAGAUACGAAAGCGUGGGGAUCAAACAGG
This 253-nucleotide ribosomal RNA is filed under the name uncultured bacterium. RNAcentral describes it as "partial 16S ribosomal RNA". It matches the Rfam family "Bacterial small subunit ribosomal RNA", at positions 524 to 776 of the family's 1533-position model. The record is from RNAcentral.